AGGUGACAAAACGCGACAGCCUUCCUCAAGCCCCUCCAGUGUUAUCCGACGUACGUCUUCCUUGGAUACUCUUGCUGCUCCGUAUCUGGCCGGGCACUGGCCUCGUGAUAGUCAUGGGCAGGCUGCACCUUGCAUGAGGGACAAAGCUACACAGACAGAGAGUGCAUGGGCUGAAGAAUACGCUGAAAAGAAGAAAGGGUCUCAUAAGCGCUCAGCAUCCUGGGGCAGCACAGAUCAACUUAAGGAGAUUGCAAAAUUACGCCAGCAAUUGCAGAGAAGUAAACACAGCAGUCGACAUCAUCGAGAUAAAGAAAGACAGUCUCCAUUCCAUGGCAACCAUGCAGCUAUUAACCAGUGUCAGG
Carlito syrichta (Philippine tarsier) is the source of this 362-nucleotide RNA transcript. RefSeq lists it as uncharacterized. Lineage: Eukaryota; Metazoa; Chordata; Mammalia; Primates; Tarsiidae. The transcript has 3 exons. The record is from RefSeq and is a predicted model, not a curated record.